RNAcentral lists this non-coding RNA (200 nucleotides) under Clostridium sp. RNAcentral describes it as "T-box sequence". It matches the Rfam family "T-box leader". From Rfam's summary of the family: Uncharged tRNA acts as the effector for transcription antitermination of genes in the T-box leader family. The record is from RNAcentral. Lineage: Bacteria; Bacillati; Bacillota; Clostridia; Eubacteriales; Clostridiaceae.
UAAAAACCUAUGAAAAGGCUAGUAGCAAAAUAUAAGUUAAAGAGAGUCAGUGCUAGGUGUGAGCUGAUACUUUAUGCUUUGUGAAUCCACCUUGGAGGGACUGUGAUAAAGCAGUACGGUAAUAAACCGUUAUAUUUCAGAAAGAGGAUUAGAUUAAUCUAAUCAAUUAGGGUGGCAACGCGGAGUCUUUCGUCCCUUUU